Molecule: ribosomal RNA, 253 nt
Filed under: uncultured bacterium
Lineage: Bacteria
Description: partial 16S ribosomal RNA
Rfam family: Bacterial small subunit ribosomal RNA
Source: RNAcentral
UACGUAGGGUGCAAGCGUUGUCCGGAAUUAUUGGGCGUAAAGAGCUCGUAGGCGGUCUGUCGCGUCUGCUGUGAAAACUCAGGGCUCCAACCCUGAGCUUGCAGUGGGUACGGGCAGACUAGAGUGCGGUAGGGGAGACUGGAAUUCCUGGUGUAGCGGUGAAAUGCGCAGAUAUCAGGAGGAACACCGGUGGCGAAGGCGGGUCUCUGGGCCGUAACUGACGCUGAGGAGCGAAAGCGUGGGAGCGAACAGG